RNAcentral lists this ribosomal RNA (253 nucleotides) under uncultured bacterium. RNAcentral describes it as "partial 16S ribosomal RNA". It matches the Rfam family "Bacterial small subunit ribosomal RNA", at positions 524 to 776 of the family's 1533-position model. The record is from RNAcentral.
UACGGAGGAUGCAAGCGUUAUCCGGAAUGAUUGGGCGUAAAGCGUCCGCAGGUGGCAAUGUAAGUCUGCUGUCAAAGCGUCUGGCUCAACCAGAUAAAGGCAGUGGAAACUACAUAGCUAGAGUAAGGUAGGGGUAGAGGGAAUUCCUGGUGUAGCGGUGAAAUGCGUAGAGAUCAGGAAGAACACCGGUGGCGAAAGCGCUCUGCUGGACCUAGACUGACACUGAGGGACGAAAGCUAGGGGAGCGAAUGGG